RNAcentral lists this ribosomal RNA (249 nucleotides) under Trichoplusia ni (cabbage looper). RNAcentral describes it as "partial 28S ribosomal RNA". It matches the Rfam family "Eukaryotic large subunit ribosomal RNA", at positions 681 to 891 of the family's 3401-position model. Lineage: Eukaryota; Metazoa; Arthropoda; Insecta; Lepidoptera; Noctuidae. The record is from RNAcentral.
UGUAUGCGAGUCAUUGAGAUAAUAAAACUGAAAGGCGCAACGAAAGUGAAGGCGCGCGCUAGCCGCGUGCUCAGGGAGGAUGGAGCGUCGAUCUAGGUCGAUCUCUCGCACUCCCGAGGCGUCUCGUUUCCAAUCCGUGAAUGCAGGCGCGCUCUGAGCAUAAAUGCUGGGACCCGAAAGAUGGUGAACUAUGCCUGGUCAGGUCGAAGUCAGGGGAAACCCUGAUGGAGGACCGUAGCGAUUCUGACA